CAGCAGCCGCGGUAAUACGUAGGUCCCGAGCGUUGUCCGGAUUUAUUGGGCGUAAAGCGAGCGCAGGCGGUUAGAUAAGUCUGAAGUUAAAGGCUGUGGCUUAACCAUAGUACGCUUUGGAAACUGUUUAACUUGAGUGCAGAAGGGGAGAGUGGAAUUCCAUGUGUAGCGGUGAAAUGCGUAGAUAUAUGGAGGAACACCGGUGGCGAAAGCGGCUCUCUGGUCUGUAACUGACGCUGAGGCUCGAAAGCGUGGGGAGCAAACAGGAUUAGAUACCCCCGUAGUCCCUGUCUCUUAUACC
This 301-nucleotide ribosomal RNA is filed under the name uncultured bacterium. RNAcentral describes it as "partial 16S ribosomal RNA". It matches the Rfam family "Bacterial small subunit ribosomal RNA", at positions 509 to 808 of the family's 1533-position model. The record is from RNAcentral.